RNAcentral lists this ribosomal RNA (253 nucleotides) under uncultured bacterium. Its description in RNAcentral is "partial 16S ribosomal RNA". It matches the Rfam family "Bacterial small subunit ribosomal RNA", at positions 524 to 776 of the family's 1533-position model. The record is from RNAcentral.
UACGGAGGAUGCAAGCGUUAUCCGGAUUUAUUGGGUUUAAAGGGUGCGUAGGCGGGGGAUUAAGUCAGUGGUGAAAUCUUGCAGCUUAACUGUAAAAUUGCCAUUGAUACUGAUUUUCUUGAGUGCGGUUGAAGUAGGCGGAAUGUGUAAUGUAGCGGUGAAAUGCUUAGAGAUUACACAGAACACCGAUUGCGUAGGCAGCUUACUAAGCCGUAACUGACGCUGAGGCACGAAAGUGUGGGGAUCGAACAGG